AAACUUCACAAUGGAGGCAACUCCGAUGAGGGAAUUCCAAGUGCUAGCACAUUAGUGUUAGCUUUUCUUAAGCAUAGAUAACUUAAGGAAUAAGGGCUGGGUAAGACGGGUGCCAGCCGCCGCGGUAAUACCCGCAGCCCAAGUGGUGGUCGAUUUUAUUGAGUCUAAAACGUUCGUAGCCGGUUCAUUAAAUCCUUGGGUAAAUCGGAUGGCUUAACUAUCCGAAUUCCGGGGAGACUGGUGAACUUGGGACCGGGAGAGGCAAGAGGUACUUUUGGGGUAGGGGUAAAAUCCCGUAAUCCUAGAAGGACCACCGGUGGCGAAGGCGUCUAGCUAGAACGGAUCCGACGGUGAGGGACGAAGCCCUGGGUCGCAAACGGGAUUAGAUACCCCGGUAGUCCAGGUGUAAACGCUGCCGACUUGGUGUUGGAGGCCCUUCGGGGGCAUUCAGUGCCGGAGAGAAGUUGUUAAGUCGGCUACUUGGGGAGUACGUCCGCAAGGAUGAAACUUAAAGGAAUU
RNAcentral lists this ribosomal RNA (519 nucleotides) under uncultured bacterium. RNAcentral's name for it is "bacterial SSU rRNA". It matches the Rfam family "Archaeal small subunit ribosomal RNA", at positions 345 to 866 of the family's 1478-position model. The record is from RNAcentral.